Molecule: ribosomal RNA, 466 nt
Filed under: uncultured bacterium
Lineage: Bacteria
Description: partial 16S ribosomal RNA
Rfam family: Bacterial small subunit ribosomal RNA
Source: RNAcentral
GAUGAACGCUGGCGGCGUGCUUAACACAUGCAAGUCGAACGAUGAAGCCCAGCUUGCUGGGUGGAUUAGUGGCGAACGGGUGAGUAACACGUGAGUAACCUGCCCUUAACUCUGGGAUAAGCCUGGGAAACUGGGUCUAAUACCGGAUAGGAGCGUCCACCGCAUGGUGGGUGUUGGAAAGAUUUAUCGGUUUUGGAUGGACUCGCGGCCUAUCAGCUUGUUGGUGAGGUAAUGGCUCACCAAGGCGACGACGGGUAGCCGGCCUGAGAGGGUGACCGGCCACACUGGGACUGAGACACGGCCCAGACUCCUACGGGAGGCAGCAGUGGGGAAUAUUGCACAAUGGGCGCAAGCCUGAUGCAGCGACGCCGCGUGAGGGAUGACGGCCUUCGGGUUGUAAACCUCUUUCAGUAGGGAAGAAGCGAAAGUUACGGUACCUGCAGAAGAAGCACCGGCUAACUACGUG